This 65-nucleotide transfer RNA is filed under the name Etrocorema hochii. RNAcentral's name for it is "tRNA-Ala". It matches the Rfam family "tRNA". From Rfam's summary of the family: Transfer RNA (tRNA) molecules are approximately 80 nucleotides in length. Their secondary structure includes four short double-helical elements and three loops (D, anti-codon, and T loops). Lineage: Eukaryota; Metazoa; Arthropoda; Insecta; Plecoptera; Perlidae. The record is from RNAcentral.
AGGGUUGUAGUUAAAUAUAACAUUUGGUUUGCAUCUAAAAAGUACUGAUCAUUCAGUCAAUCUUA